Molecule: long non-coding RNA, 712 nt
Organism: Salvelinus fontinalis (brook trout)
Lineage: Eukaryota; Metazoa; Chordata; Actinopteri; Salmoniformes; Salmonidae
Exons: 4
Source: RefSeq, a predicted model, not a curated record
AAAACUCUUCCAGAAUGUCUGAGAUCUCCUCUGCCACUACUUCGCCAGUUUGCGAUUUGUACACUGCCCUGGUGUGGAGGACCUUCUGUUUUACAUGGCACCUGACUUGUGUAGUGAACUGUAACAGUGAGAUAGUGGUCCUGACAGAGGCUGGUCCACCCGUCUGAUGUGAUGGCCAGCUUUGGCACGUCCUUCAGCUCAGUGAUCACAUUGGCCUUUUCUACACCACACCAGUCUCCAGGGUGUGGGAGCGUAAUCUACGCAGCAACAGCGCCGGACACCAAGGAGCGCCAAGAGGCUGGGACCAGCCUUGAGCGCCGGCGAUGGGCUGAGCACGUUUAAACCACGCUCAGCCUCUACUGUGAUAGCCCAACAGACGGGUUGGAACUACAUCUAUCACAAUUUGAAUUGAUGCAAAUCCUUAAUAUGGUGACCCCCGGCAGUGAUCUGGUGAAGGACUUCGCUGGACAUUGGCGUGCCAGCCAAUUGACCAUUACUGUCGUCAGACGGUGUCUCACAACUCCAGACCGGUCAACUCCAAAGUUACUCACCCGGAUCAUUCACCCCAUUCCCGCCUGGUCGACGGAGGAUUCCGCUACUCCAUUGGAUUCACCUAUUUACUCCCAUCCACUCAUCUCCGCUGCCCGCUACGCCACCUGGAUAUAUCUACUCAUUCACAUUCACUUGUAAAUAAAUACUCACCUUCUUUCUA